Molecule: long non-coding RNA, 129 nt
Organism: Sphaeramia orbicularis (orbiculate cardinalfish)
Lineage: Eukaryota; Metazoa; Chordata; Actinopteri; Kurtiformes; Apogonidae
Exons: 3
Source: RefSeq, a predicted model, not a curated record
CUGCUGCAGAGAGGCUUAAAGCAGCGUAUAACUUUCAUCUCAAAAUUUUUUUUUUCAAAUUUGUGAAACCCCAGUGAUAGCCUAAAUAUCACUAAUCCAUUAGUCUUUCCGUGCUUAUGCACCUGAAUC